This 465-nucleotide ribosomal RNA is filed under the name uncultured bacterium. RNAcentral's name for it is "partial 16S ribosomal RNA". It matches the Rfam family "Bacterial small subunit ribosomal RNA", at positions 28 to 507 of the family's 1533-position model. The record is from RNAcentral.
GACGAACGCUGGCGGCGUGCUUAACACAUGCAAGUCGAACGGAAAGGCCCUGCUUGCAGGGUACUCGAGUGGCGAACGGGUGAGUAACACGUGGGUGAUCUGCCCUGCACUUCGGGAUAAGCCUGGGAAACUGGGUCUAAUACCGGAUAGGAGCCAUUUUUAGUGUGAUGGUUGGAAAGUUUUUUCGGUGUAGGAUGAGCUCGCGGCCUAUCAGCUUGUUGGUGGGGUAAUGGCCUACCAAGGCGGCGACGGGUAGCCGGCCUGAGAGGGUGGACGGCCACAUUGGGACUGAGAGACGGCCCAGACUCCUACGGGAGGCAGAAGUGGGGAAUAUUGCACAAUGGGCGCAAGCCUGAUGCAGAGACGCCGCGUGGGGGAUGACGGCCUUCGGGUUGUAAACUCCUUUCGCUAGGGACGAAGCUUUUUGUGACGGUACCUAGAUAAGAAGCACCGGCUAACUACGUG